This 497-nucleotide ribosomal RNA is filed under the name uncultured bacterium. RNAcentral's name for it is "partial 16S ribosomal RNA". It matches the Rfam family "Bacterial small subunit ribosomal RNA", at positions 28 to 507 of the family's 1533-position model. The record is from RNAcentral.
GAUGAACGCUGGCGGCGUGCCUAAUACAUGCAAGUCGAGCGAACGGACGAGAAGCUUGCUUCUCUGAUGUUAGCGGCGGACGGGUGAGUAACACGUGGAUAACCUACCUAUAAGACUGGGAUAACUUCGGGAAACCGGAGCUAAUACCGGAUGAUAUUUUGAACCGCAUGGUUCAAAAGUGAAAGACGGUCUUGCUGUCACUUAUAGAUGGAUCCGCGCUGCAUUAGCUAGUUGGUAAGGUAACGGCUUACCAAGGCAACGAUGCAUAGCCGACCUGAGAGGGUGAUCGGCCACACUGGAACUGAGACACGGUCCAGACACCUACGGGAGGCAGCAGUAGGGAAUCUUACGCAAUGGGGGAAAGCCUGACGGAGCAACGCCGCGUGAGUGAUGAAGGUCUUCGGAUCGUAAAACUCUGUUAUUAGGGAAGAACAUAUGUGUAAGUAACUGUGAACAUCUUGACGGUACCUAGUCAGAAAGCCACGGCUAACUCCGUG